RNAcentral lists this non-coding RNA (125 nucleotides) under Carlito syrichta (Philippine tarsier). Its description in RNAcentral is "U4atac minor spliceosomal RNA (ENSTSYG00000025303.2)". It matches the Rfam family "U4atac minor spliceosomal RNA". Rfam says of the family: U4atac is an essential component of the minor U12-type spliceosome complex which is required for removal of the rarer class of eukaryotic introns (AT-AC, U12-type). These interacting stem loops have been shown to be required for in vivo splicing. U4atac also contains an 3' Sm protein binding site which has been shown to be essential for splicing activity. The record is from Rfam by way of RNAcentral. Lineage: Eukaryota; Metazoa; Chordata; Mammalia; Primates; Tarsiidae.
GCCAUCUUUUUCUUGGGGUACACUGCUGUCCAAUGAGUGCCUAAGGAGGGCAGUACUGCUAAUGCCUACACAGCACGCCCACAUGUUCUAGAGCUCUGCUUUACCCUGGUGCAAUUUUGGGGGAG